UGGGGAAUUUUGGACAAUGGGCGCAAGCCUGAUCCAGCCAUGCCGCGUGCGGGAAGAAGGCCUUCGGGUUGUGAACCGCUUUUGUCAGGGAAGAAAUCUUCUGAGUUAAUACCUCGGGAGGAUGACGGUACCUGAAGAAUAAGCACCGGCUAACUACGUGCCAGCAGCCGCGGUAAUACGUAGGGUGCAAGCGUUAAUCGGAAUUACUGGGCGUAAAGCGUGCGCAGGCGGUUUUGUAAGACAGAGGUGAAAUCCCCGGGCUCAACCUGGGAACUGCCUUUGUGACUGCAAGGCUUGAGUGCGGCAGAGGGGGGAUGGAAUUCCGCGUGUAGCAGUGAAAUGCGUAGAUAUGCGGAGGAACACCGAUGGCGAAGGCAAUCCCCUGGGCCUGCACUGACGCUCAUGCACGAAAGCGUGGGGAGCAAACAGGAUUAGAUACCCUGGUAGUCCACGCCCUAAAACGAUGUCAACUGGUUGUUGGGAAGGUUCCUUCUCAGUAACGUAGCUAACGCGUGAAGUUGACCGCCUGGGGAGUACGGCCGCAAGGUUGAAACUCAAAUGAAUUGACGGGGUCAUAGC
Molecule: ribosomal RNA, 579 nt
Filed under: uncultured bacterium
Lineage: Bacteria
Description: partial 16S ribosomal RNA
Rfam family: Bacterial small subunit ribosomal RNA
Source: RNAcentral